Molecule: ribosomal RNA, 461 nt
Filed under: uncultured Desulfobulbus sp.
Lineage: Bacteria; Pseudomonadati; Thermodesulfobacteriota; Desulfobulbia; Desulfobulbales; Desulfobulbaceae
Description: bacterial SSU rRNA
Rfam family: Bacterial small subunit ribosomal RNA
Source: RNAcentral
GACGGUGGAGGUAUGUGGUUUAAUUCGAUGCAACGCGAAGAACCUUACCCGGUCUUGACAUCCCGGAGACCCUUAGGAAACUAGGGGGUGCUUCCAUCUGGAAGAAUCUGGAGACAGGUGCUGCAUGGCUGUCGUCAGCUCGUGUCGUGAGAUGUUGGGUUAAGUCCCGCAACGAGCGCAACCCUUGCCUUUAGUUGCCAGCAGUUCGGCUGGGCACUCUAAAGGGACUGCCGGUGUUAAACCGGAGGAAGGUGGGGAUGACGUCAAGUCCUCAUGGCCUUUAUGACCAGGGCUACACACGUACUACAAUGGCCGAUACAAAGGGCAGCGACACUGCGAGGUGAAGCCAAUCCCGUAAAAUCGGUCUCAGUCCGGAUUGGAGUCUGCAACUCGACUCCAUGAAGUUGGAAUCGCUAGUAAUCGUGGAUCAGCAUGCCACGGUGAAUGCGUUCCCGGGCCUU